This 253-nucleotide ribosomal RNA is filed under the name uncultured bacterium. RNAcentral describes it as "partial 16S ribosomal RNA". It matches the Rfam family "Bacterial small subunit ribosomal RNA", at positions 524 to 776 of the family's 1533-position model. The record is from RNAcentral.
UACGAAGGGUGCAAGCGUUGUUCGGAUUUAUUGGGCGUAAAGCGCGCGCAGGCGGAUUAGAAAGUCAGAUGUGAAAUCUCGAGGCUUAACCUCGAACGUGCAUCUGAAACUUCUAGUCUAGAGUAGUGGAGGGGAAAGGGGAAUUUCACGUGUAGGGGUAAAAUCCGUAGAGAUGUGAAGGAACACCUGGGGCGAAAGCGCCUUUCUGGACACUUACUGACGCUGAGGCGCGAAAGCGUGGGGAUCAAACAGG